GACGAACGCUGGCGGCGUGCUUAACACAUGCAAGUCGAACGGAAAGGCCCUGCUUUUGUGGGUUGCUCGAGUGGCGAACGGGUGAGUAACACGUGAGGAACCUGCCCUUGACUUUGGGAUAACUUCAGGAAACUGGGGCUAAUACCGGAUAGGAGCUUCUGCUGCAUGUUGGGGGUUGGAAAGUUUCGGCGGUUGUGGAUGGACUCGCGGCUUAUCAGCUUGUUGGGGGGGUAGUGGCUUACCAAGGCUUUGACGGGUAGCCUGCCUGAGAGCGUGACCGGGCACCAUGGGCCUGCGGUACGGACCAGAAUCCUACGGGCGGCAGCAGUGGGAAAUAUUGCGCAAUGGGCCGACGCCUGAUGCAGAAGCGCCGCGUGCGGGAUGCCGGCCUUUGGGUUGUAAACCGCUUUCGCAUGUGCCGAAGCCUGCGUGACGGUAAUGGGUAAAGAAGCAACGGCUAACUACGUG
RNAcentral lists this ribosomal RNA (468 nucleotides) under uncultured bacterium. RNAcentral's name for it is "partial 16S ribosomal RNA". It matches the Rfam family "Bacterial small subunit ribosomal RNA", at positions 28 to 507 of the family's 1533-position model. The record is from RNAcentral.